AAAUACAAGUACUAUGGAUGGAAUUGUUUGCUUUGAAUCUAAAUUUUUACAAAUGUGUACGACAUAUAGAAGAAGAAUUCUUAGUGUACACAUUUGAGAUAAACGAUAAUACAAUGAUAAAGAUAGAAAAACAGAGUGAGGAUAAAUUUAAAAUGUUAUUAAAAUUGAACGAUGCAAACGAUAAACCAAUUAAAUGUUGUUUGGUAGGUAUUAAGGAAAAGAUGAUGUCAAUAUGUGAUAAUAUAGUACAAAGAAUCUUGUUAUCCAAAUAUAUAAAAUAUUUAAAAACAAAGAAUAUAGAUACUGUUUAUAAUGCUGCAAUGUUUUUUUUAUAUGAUAAAAGAUUAUUAGACUUAAAAAAUGUAAAAUAUGAUACCGAUGCAGAUUCUAUCAUUUUUUCCUACUCAAAAAAUGUAACAAAUAUACAUAGCAUUAAUUUAUCAAAUAGGAAAAUGAAUAUUUUACAAUUACAUGAAUUUUUAACAAAUUCAAAUAUUAAACAAUGUUAUACUCUAAACUUAACAAUGAAUCCAUUAUUUUCUGAGGAAACUGAAUUAAGUACAGUUCAAAAUGAAAUAAAUGAUAUCAUUAGUAUUUUGAAAAAUAUUAAUUUAAAUGAACUUAUUUUGGAUUUUAUUAACGUAUCAAACACAUGUGGUGACUAUUUUAUUUCUAAUUUAAUAUUAAACACAGAUAUCCUUUUUUUAAGUCUAUUAAAAUGUAAUUUAAAAUCUAUUAAUAUAACUAAUAUUACGAAUACAAUACUUGACAAAAGCAACCCUUCUAUGUUAUAUGCAAUAACACACUUAAAUGUCGAGUUCAACGGAUUAAUUUAUCAUGAUAUUAAAACACUUAUAAAAACAUUACAAAAAAUAAAUAAAAAUUUUAAAAAAUUAUACAUUUAUGGUAAUUUAAUACAAACUGAUAUUUUCGAAGUUUCUUACUAUUUUAAACAAAGAAAAGCAAUUAUUGAAGCAAAAAAAUAUUACAGACACGUAUUAAACAUUUUUCAUUUUAAUAACAUUUAUAAAAUCAAAUUGCAUGUUUCUUGUAGUUUAAGAGGUAUUGCCGAAUGGAUAAAAACGGUGAGUCCUGCGUUGUCAUUUCUAUUAUGUUAGUGUUAUUUUGUUAUUAUAAUUCGCUUUUUUUUU
This 1151-nucleotide long non-coding RNA is filed under the name Piliocolobus tephrosceles (Ugandan red Colobus). Its description in RNAcentral is "lncRNA (ENSPTEG00000002247.1)". Lineage: Eukaryota; Metazoa; Chordata; Mammalia; Primates; Cercopithecidae. The record is from RNAcentral.